CAAAAUAGAACUGCAUAUUUCAAUUCUGAUUUCAAUUUCUGAUUUCUUUGAAAGAAAAACGAAAAGUUAACACCCUGUGUUGUGUAUAAUUUUAUUACAAAAUUUGUACCUUGGCUUUAUUAUCACGGAACUUUAAACAACCAAGUCAUGGUAAGUAUGUAGAAUGUUUUAUUUCAAAUACAACUGUUUGUUUAAAUUGAGGAUUUAACGUUGUUCAGCUUGAACGAACCUUAAUGAAACGAGGUUUAUUUAUUUAAGUAAUUUACGAUGGGUUGAUCUAAAUUCAGUUAAAAUACACCAGAUAUUUAAAAAAAAAUGUCUAACAAAUAAUUUAUUUACAUAAAUUUACAAUUUAUUGAUUUCUUGUAAUUAUUGAAAAAAUUUAGUUUGCUUAUAAUUUAAGUAAUAUAAAUAAUAUAAUUUAAAAGUAGUUUUCCUCUGUUAAGUUAAAUUUGUAUAACUUUUAAUACAAGCAUAAGUUAGAGUUUACUUUUUUCGAUGAAAAUCGACCCUAACUUCUAGCUUUUACAUUUCAUUCAAAAUUUAAAAACCAUCGAUCGUAAGCCCAACAGUUAAUAUUUUAUGUAAAUAUUUUAAUUUUACGUUUAAGGAUGAGUCAAAUUUCAAUAUGAUUUAAUUUGCAAGAAAUUAAAAAAAGGCUUCGAUAUACUAAGUGAAAAAGCUCACAUAUAAUUAACUUGCACAAUAAUAUCGAAGUGAGGGUAACAACAUUCGAUUACCUCUAUGUUUAUUUUCUGAGGGGGCGUCUCUGUUAAACAAUUACAACAGUAGCCAUAGCCAUCAUAUCAGUUGAAUUAAAUUUGCUUACUGACGGAAUGAAUUGGAUUGGAUUUAUUAGUGGUGGAAGAUUGAUCGGAGCAUUGCACGGAUAGUACUCUUUUUCUCUAGAUCUUAACCAGCAACCUUAAGUGAUGGAGCUAUAAUUGUUGUUUACAUUUUUUUGUUUUUUUUUUCUAGAUGAUGCGGACACGCGGCCUUGACCAUGCACAUUCAUACAUGUACACUUGCACUUAACACGGUUGCUGGAUUAAUGUGACUGGAUUGGAUGUUCUCAAAUUACAACUUUUAAAAUUAUUAUUGUUAUUAAUAUGUUCCGACUUUCAGACAUGAAGACUUACCUAUCUUGAAGUAAAUAUGAAAAAAUUGCGUGUAGAGUGAUCAAGCUUAUUCUUGGCUUACUAAAGGUGGUAGUUAUUUAAUGCGUGAUAGUGAAAACCUUUGAACUGAAAUGGAAAAUACCAUUGUGUCCUUGAAGCUCAAACUCAAUAAACCUUAAGUAGAUAUUCUACAGCUAUGGCCAAAACAAUUGGAACAAAACUUAAUUUUUGAUAAUUAUGUCCUUACUACAUGUUUAAGUAAAAAUAUCUAAAUUUUAAUCAUUUACUUUGAAUAAUAAAUAUUUUGUUGACGUUUCUUAAUAUGUAUGUUAUUUUCAAAGUAGUAUUGGUUUUCUGGCUUUAUUAAAGGUUUAGCAACAAAAAUAGAAACACAA
Eupeodes corollae is the source of this 1513-nucleotide long non-coding RNA. RefSeq lists it as uncharacterized. The record is from RefSeq and is a predicted model, not a curated record. The transcript has 2 exons. Lineage: Eukaryota; Metazoa; Arthropoda; Insecta; Diptera; Syrphidae.